Molecule: ribosomal RNA, 292 nt
Filed under: Coelopleurus undulatus
Lineage: Eukaryota; Metazoa; Echinodermata; Echinoidea; Arbacioida; Arbaciidae
Description: partial 28S ribosomal RNA
Rfam family: Eukaryotic large subunit ribosomal RNA
Source: RNAcentral
AUUCCCUUAGUAGCGGCGAGUGAAGCGGGAAGAGCCCAUCGCCGAAUCCCCGAGCCCGACCGGGCCCGGGGAGCUGUGGCGUGAGGCGGCUUCGGGCACGCGAGGUUCCGGCGCCGAGGUCCUCCUGAUAGGGGCGCCUUUUACCCAGAGCGGGUGUCAGGCCCGUUCGGGCCCCGGACCUCUCGGGCCUGGAGUCACCAAGAGUCGGGUAGUUUUGGAAUGCUGCCCAAAGAGGGGUGGUGAACUCCAUCCAAGGCUAAAUACUGGCACGAGACCGAUAGCAGACAAGUAC